Molecule: ribosomal RNA, 589 nt
Filed under: Trichoderma harzianum
Lineage: Eukaryota; Fungi; Ascomycota; Sordariomycetes; Hypocreales; Hypocreaceae
Description: eukaryotic LSU rRNA
Rfam family: 5.8S ribosomal RNA (bases 213-366)
Source: RNAcentral
AGGGAUCAUUACCGAGUUUACAACUCCCAAACCCAAUGUGAACGUUACCAAACUGUUGCCUCGGCGGGAUCUCUGCCCCGGGUGCGUCGCAGCCCCGGACCAAGGCGCCCGCCGGAGGACCAACCAAAACUCUUAUUGUAUACCCCCUCGCGGGUUUUUUUAUAAUCUGAGCCUUCUCGGCGCCUCUCGUAGGCGUUUCGAAAAUGAAUCAAAACUUUCAACAACGGAUCUCUUGGUUCUGGCAUCGAUGAAGAACGCAGCGAAAUGCGAUAAGUAAUGUGAAUUGCAGAAUUCAGUGAAUCAUCGAAUCUUUGAACGCACAUUGCGCCCGCCAGUAUUCUGGCGGGCAUGCCUGUCCGAGCGUCAUUUCAACCCUCGAACCCCUCCGGGGGGUCGGCGUUGGGGAUCGGCCCUGCCUUGGCGGUGGCCGUCUCCGAAAUACAGUGGCGGUCUCGCCGCAGCCUCUCCUGCGCAGUAGUUUGCACACUCGCAUCGGGAGCGCGGCGCGUCCACAGCCGUUAAACACCCAACUUCUGAAAUGUUGACCUCGGAUCAGGUAGGAAUACCCGCUGAACUUAAGCAUAUCAUA